RNAcentral lists this non-coding RNA (193 nucleotides) under Gossypium arboreum. RNAcentral's name for it is "Bacterial large subunit ribosomal RNA". It matches the Rfam family "Bacterial large subunit ribosomal RNA", at positions 1888 to 2041 of the family's 2925-position model. The record is from Rfam by way of RNAcentral. Lineage: Eukaryota; Viridiplantae; Streptophyta; Magnoliopsida; Malvales; Malvaceae.
UGGAAUUUGGUUAUUCACCAUGUACGAGGAUCCCCGCUAAGCAUCCAUGGCUGAAUGGUUAAAGCGCCCAAUUCGCUCGAAUGACCCCUUCUCAUAACGAUCCUAAGGUAGCGAAAUUCCUUGUCGGGUAAGUUUCGACCCGCACGAAAGGCUUAACGAUCUGGGCACUGUCUCGGAGAGAGGCUCGGUGAAA